UCACUUAUUCCCCAGCCACAAAAAUUUUCCCUGUUGAAUUCCUGUACCUCAAGCUGCCUGUUAAAUGCCAGGUGGUGAUGAUGAUGAUGAUGCCUUAACCUACUCAUAUUCAUUCACUCUAGACAACUCAACCACUCCUGCUUGAAAGUGGGACCAUGAGAUCAGGUUUAUGAAGAACAUUAAGAUGAAAAGGCAGGGUCUUUGCCUUAUGUGGAAGAAGCACAAGCUUUCUGUGUCAUUUAACAGCUGUUUUGGCAGGCAGAAAAUCAACAAGUAUAGCUUUUGGCAGCAUGGAGUUGGGAGAACACAGCUGGUAAUAUUCUCCAAAUACAUUCAAAUUCAGUUAACAAAACGUUUGGGAAACAAUCUACCAAGAUGUUCCUCUGCAUGAGGUCCACGAUUCUGCAGUGCUCCAGUGUCUUUAUGUGAGCUUGUACAGGAGAACUUCCUAUUGGAUUUUACCCAAGAUGUUGGAUAAAAGAGCACCAUCUGCAAACACUCAAAUUAGAAGUCAACUCUCUUUCUCUACUUCUCACGUCAGAGUAAUAUUGAUUGGAUCCUAAUUUGCCUUCCCAAAAUGGGACUUCUUUCCCUUCACCUCCAUCCCUGUUCCAGAUGAUUGGGGGACUCUCUGGAACAGCAAGAAGGAGAAAUCAUCAAACCGUAGGGAUUCUUUCUACUCAUGCAAGACUACCUUUGGAACAAAGCCUCUGAAAAUAAUGGUGAUGCGUUCGUUUUUUUUAUCUGUAGUGUUGAUUUAAAGCAAAUUUUGCAUACACUGUCCAGAUGUAACAACCACUAAAGUAUUCAGAUUUCCUGAUUAGUUUGCGCUUUUAGACAAUGCUAGCUCUUCUAGAAAUUUUAUCCAAAAAUAUUUUCAAAAUAACAGCACUGAGUUUUUAUUUCUUUUACAUUCUAAUAACAGAAUUUACAUUGCCAUGUGACUCUUUGUCUUUUAGCUUCUGUACCACAGUAGCAUACCAAAAUUAUAUUCACUACCAGAGUGCAA
Molecule: long non-coding RNA, 1009 nt
Organism: Rhineura floridana
Lineage: Eukaryota; Metazoa; Chordata; Lepidosauria; Squamata; Rhineuridae
Exons: 2
Source: RefSeq, a predicted model, not a curated record